This is an RNA transcript of Felis catus (domestic cat), 4847 nucleotides long. It is a transcript of the gene named ovostatin homolog 2-like, with no coding region annotated. The transcript has 37 exons. NCBI's taxonomy places the organism in Eukaryota, Metazoa, Chordata, Mammalia, Carnivora, Felidae. The record is from RefSeq and is a predicted model, not a curated record.
AAUGGGAGAGGCUAUUCUACGUGUGAUUGAUGGGUCCCAGGUGACUUGUUCCAAAAAGUAACUGAUCCUUCAUCGUGCCUGACUAUAAAAGCAACAACGUACAGGGGAAGGCAGAGUAGAAGGAAGAAAAGAAAGUGGAUAAUUGGGGCAACUAACAUCGAAUAAGAAGAAAAGAGAGAGAGAGAGAUUGAAUAUUUCCCUUGAAGUCUUGAUUGUUCAGACACUGGGAUAAAAUGGUGCCCACCAUUUUUCUGAGCGCCUUCUUGCUUCAUUUUACUGUUUCUGUGGCUUCAGAACCGCAAUAUAUCCUAUGGGUGUCCUCCGUGAUGCAGAGUCAUUCUACAGACAAGGCUUGUCUCCACCUUUCAAACCUUAACGAAUCUGUAUCCUUGAGUGUUGUCCUAGAAUAUGAUGGAUACAACACCACGAUUUUUGAGCAGUCUGUGGACGACGAUAACUUCUACGCUUGUGCAGAUUUCAAGGUGCCUCAAAAGUCCUCUGAGCCAUUGGCCUUUGUGACAUUGCGGGCUAAGGGAGAGACUCUUAAAAUCUUCGAGAGGAGGUCCGUAGCACUCGCUUCAGAGGAGACCGUAACCUUUGUGCAGACAGAUAAGCCCAUCUAUAAACCUGGACAGAAGGUUCAAAUUCGCAUCGUGACGCUGGAUACCAAGUUCAGACCUGUUGAGGAAUUGUAUCCGUUGAUCACACUUCAGGAUCCUCAACACAAUAGGAUUUUUCAGUGGCAAAAUGUGACCUCCUUUCAAAACAUUACCCAACUCUCAUUCCAACUGAUUUCAGAACCAAUAUUUGGAGAUUACUCUAUUAUCGUGAAAGAAAAAUCAGGAAGGACACUGACACACCAAUUUACUGUUGAUAGAUAUGUGUUGCCCAGGUUUGAAGUUAAGGUCAGUGCACCACAAACAGUAACUAUUUCGGAUGAUGAAUUCCAAGUGAAUGUAUGUGCUAAGUACACCUAUGGCCAGCCGGUGCAAGGAAAAGCUCAAAUCCGGGUGUGCAGAAAAUUCUUUUCCUCCGAGAACUGUGAGAACAACAACAAUGAAAUAUGUGAACAAUUUAUUGCGCAGUUGAGAAACGGUUGUGUGACUCAAAUUGUGAAUACGAAAGUCUUCCAACUCUACCGCUCAGGAUUUUUCAUGUCAUUUCAAACCGCUGUAACAGUUACGGAAUUUGGGACAGGUGUGCAGAUCAGUGAAAAGACUUCCAUUUUUCUCACUCAAUUGCUUGGGAGUGUGAGCUUUGAGAAUAUGGAUUCUUUCUACAGAAGAGGAAUUCCUUAUUUUGGAACUCUUAAAUUUUCUGGACCUAAUAAUGUACCGAUGGGGAACAAGCCAUUGCGAUUGGAGCUAAAUAAUAGAUUUAUAGGAAACUACACCACAGGCGACAAUGGGGAAGCUCUGUUUUCCAUCGACACUUCAGAUAUAUUCGAUUCAGAGUUCAACCUGAAAGCCAUGUAUAUUCGACCUAAGAACUGCUAUCCUCCCAGCUGGUUAGCGCCUGAGUAUGUGGAUGCACAUUUCUCAGUUUCACGCUUUUACUCCCGAACCAACAGCUUCCUGAAGAUUGUUCCUGAACCAAAACAGCUUAGAUGCAAUCAACAGAAAACUGUUACUGUGCAUUACACCCUAAACAAAGAAGCAUAUAGGGAUGAUUCCAGUAUCAACUUUUUUUAUCUGGUGAUGGUAAAAGGGGCUAUCUUCCUCAGCGGACAAAAGGAAAUCAGAAACAAAGCCUGGAAUGGAAACUUCUCGUUCCCGAUCAACAUCAGUGCCGAUCUUGCUCCUGUGGCUGUCAUGCUUGUCUACACCCUUCACCCCAGUGGGGAAAUUGUGGCUGACAGUGUCAGAUUCCAGGUUGACAAGUGCUUUAAAAACAAGGUUAGCAUGAAGUUCUCUAAGGAGCAGGGGCUACCUGGCUCCAACACGGAUCUCUACCUUCAAGCAGCCCCUGACUCAUUCUGCGCACUCCGGGCUGUGGAUAAAAGUGUUCUUCUGCUGAAAUCCGAACAACAGCUGUCAGCCGAAAGUGUGUACGAUCUGCUUCCACAUGUAGAACUGUAUGGUUAUUUCUAUCAUGGCCUCAACCUUGAUGAUGGCAAGUUUGACUCUUGCAUUCCUCAGAAGGAUAUAUUCUACAAUGGUUUGUAUUAUAUACCUGUAAGCAACUAUGGGGAUGGAGACGCCUAUGAUAUUCUCAGGGCUAUGGGUCUGAAAGUCUUUACCAACCUUCAUUACCGGAAACCGGAAGUAUGUUCCAUGGAGGGAAGGAUGCCAUUCCUCAGGCCAUUGCAUCUAGACGCAGAAGGAUAUGGGCCAAUAUACAGUGCCCCAUCUAGAAUUGCAUCUGGUGGAGGCCUGAAGGAGAAUUUUGACUAUGUAGAACAGGCUAUAAUAGAAACGGUAAGAACAAACUUCCCAGAGACGUGGAUAUGGGACCUCGUCAGUGUCGAUUCCUCAGGUUCAGCAAACAUGUCCUUCCUCGUCCCUGAUACCAUAACCCAGUGGCAGGCAAAUGGCUUCUGUGUGAAUGGUGACGCCGGGUUUGGCAUUUCAUCAACAGUCACUCUGGAAAUCUCCCAGCCUUUUUUUGUUGAAAUGACUUUGCCCUUUUCAGUUGUUCGAAAUGAACAAUCCGACUUGGUUGUCAGUGUCUUCAGCUACCUGAGUACAUGUGUAGAGAUUUCGGUCCGGCUGGAAUCAUCUCAGUAUUUUGAAGCAAAUAUCAGCACCCCUAAAAACAAUGGCAGUGAGAUUAUCCAAGCUGGAGAGAAGAAAACGUAUGUCUGGACUCUUCUACCGAAGACAUUGGGUGAAGUGAAUAUCACGGUAGUUGCUGAGUCCAGACAAAGUAGUGCCUGCCCCAAAGAAGCAACUGAUCAGCAGAAUCUAAACUGGAAAGAUACUGUGGUCAAAAGUCUGUUGGUGGAGCCUGAAGGUAUUGAAAAAGAAAUGACUCAAAGUUUCCUUAUCUGUACACAAGGGACCAAAGUCUCCCAUCAGGUCGUUUUGGACUUGCCAAGCAAUGUGGUAGAAGGAUCAUCCAGGGCCUUUUUCACUGUUGUGGGGGAUAUUCUAGGACUUGCGAUGCAGAAUCUGGAGAAUCUUCUCCAAAUGCCCUAUGGAUGUGGAGAGCAGAAUAUUGCCCUACUCGCAUCGGAUACCUAUGUCCUAGACUAUCUACAAUCUACUAAACAGUUGACCGAGGAAGUUAAAUCUAAGGCUUUCUUUUUCUUGUCUAACGGUUAUCAAAAGCAGUUGUCUUUCAAAAACUUUGAUGGUUCAUAUAGUGUGUUUUGGCAGAGUAACCGGAAAGGAAGCCUAUGGCUCAGUGCCCUUACUUUUAAGACAUUAGAGAAAAUGAAGGAGUAUGUUUACAUUGAUGAACAAGUUCAAAAACAGACCUUGCUCUGGCUUUCAAGCAAACAGCAAAUCGAUGGCUGCUUUAAAAGUGAUGGCAAGCUUUUCAACAAUGCCUGGGAGGGUGGAGAAGAAGAGCACGUUUUACUCACUGCCUAUAUUGUCGGAGCGUUCCUUGAAGCUGGACUCAAUUUCACCUUUCCUGCUCUACGAGAUGGGCUCUUUUGCCUAGAGGAAGCACUUCAACACGGCGUCACUAAUGGCUAUAAUCAUGCAAUUCUAGCUUACGCUUUUGCAUUAGCUGAAAAAGAGGAGCAAAUGGAAUCCUUACUCCAGAUCCUGGAUCAAUCUGCUACCAAAACAAAUAAUGUCAUAUACUGGGAACGAGCAAAGAAACCCAAGACAGAAGCAUCCCCGUUCUUUAUUCCUCAUGCACCUUCUGCUGAGACUGAGAAGACUUGUUAUGUGCUCUUGGCUGUUCUUUCCAAGAAAACUCCUGAUCUCACCUAUGCGAGUAAAAUUGUGCAGUGGCUUGCCCAGCAGAUGAAUUCCCAUGGGGGUUUCUCCUCCACUCAGGACACUGCAGUCUGUCUUCUUGCCAUGACCCGCUACAUGAAGUUAACCUUCUCUGAUGACCAAAACACCGUCACCUUUCGCAAUGAAGAAUCCAGUGAGAUUUUCCAGGUUAACAGUGACAAUCGCUUACUGGUCCAGCGUUCCGAACUAACAAAAGCACACGGACAAUAUACAGUAGAUGUGGAAGGACAAGGUUGUACAUUUAUCCAGGCUACCCUGAGGUAUAACGUACUCCUACCUAAGAAGGCAUCUGGAUUUUCCCUUUCCUUGGAAAUGAUAAAGAAAAACUCAUCGGAUACAUUCCAGAGCCAUUUUAACCUGACCGUAACCCUCAAAUAUACUGGAAUCCGCAAUAACUCCAAUAUGGUCCUUGUUGAUGUCAAAAUGCUGUCAGGAUUUACUCCAGUCAUGGCAUCUAUUGAAGAGCUUGAAAAUAAUGGCCAAGUGAUGAAGACUGAAGUCAAGAAUGAUCACGUUCUUUUCUACUUGGAAAGUGUUUUUGGUACAGUGAACAGUUUUACUUUCUCUGUUGAGCAAAGCAACCUCGUGUCCAACAUACAGCCAGCCCCGGUUAUGGUCUAUGAUUAUUAUGAAAAAGAUGAAUAUGCCCUUGUUACUUACAACAUCAACAGCGUUUCAGAUUCCUCGUGAGAAAAAACAAAGCACCGGAAAAGCUUUAAAGAUGGGGCGCCUGGGUGGCGCAGUCGGUUAAGCGUCCGACUUCAGCCAGGUCACGAUCUCGCGAUGGAAAGCUAUUUACUUUGAAUAAACUCAUCUUUCUGUAUCAAACCUGGAAGAAAGCCAUGCAUCACCUCCCAUAUUGAAGAGACCACAGUCUUCCGUGACUUCUUAUCAGAUUGUAUUUUUUAUUGUCCCAUAAAAUGCUUUCAUUUCUCA